RNAcentral lists this ribosomal RNA (433 nucleotides) under uncultured bacterium. Its description in RNAcentral is "partial 16S ribosomal RNA". It matches the Rfam family "Bacterial small subunit ribosomal RNA", at positions 29 to 507 of the family's 1533-position model. The record is from RNAcentral.
AGCGAACGCUGGCGGCAGGCUUAACACAUGCAAGUCGAGCGGACCUUUCGGGGUCAGCGGCGGACGGGUGAGUAACGCGUGGGAACGUGCCUUCCGGUUCGGAGUAACCCUGGGAAACUAGGGCUAAUACCGGAUACGCCCUUAUGGGGAAAGGUUUACUGCCGGAAGAUCGGCCCGCGUCUGAUUAGCUAGUUGGUGGGGUAACGGCCUACCAAGGCGACGAUCAGUGGCUGGUCUGAGAGGAUGAUCAGCCACACUGGGACUGAGACACGGCCCAGACUCCUACGGGAGGCAGCAGUGGGGAAUAUUGGACAAUGGGCGCAAGCCUGAUCCAGCCAUGCCGCGUGAGUGAUGAAGGCCUUAGGGUUGUAAAGCUCUUUUAUCCGGGACGAUAAUGACGGUACCGGAGGAAUAAGCCCCGGCUAACUUCGUG